This 714-nucleotide ribosomal RNA is filed under the name uncultured bacterium. RNAcentral describes it as "bacterial SSU rRNA". It matches the Rfam family "Bacterial small subunit ribosomal RNA", at positions 111 to 823 of the family's 1533-position model. The record is from RNAcentral.
UAACACGUAUCCAACCUGCCGUCUACUCUUGGACAGCCUUCUGAAAGGAAGAUUAAUACAAGAUGGCAUCAUGAGUUCACAUGUUCACAUGAUUAAAGGUAUUCCGGUAGACGAUGGGGAUGCGUUCCAUUAGAUAGUAGGCGGGGUAACGGCCCACCUAGUCUUUGAUGGAUAGGGGUUCUGAGAGGAAGGUCCCCCACAUUGGAACUGAGACACGGUCCAAACUCCUACGGGAGGCAGCAGUGAGGAAUAUUGGUCAAUGGGCGAGAGCCUGAACCAGCCAAGUAGCGUGAAGGAUGACUGCCCUAUGGGUUGUAAACUUCUUUUAUAAAGGAAUAAAGUCGGGUAUGCAUACCCGUUUGCAUGUACUUUAUGAAUAAGGAUCGGCUAACUCCGUGCCAGCAGCCGCGGUAAUACGGAGGAUCCGAGCGUUAUCCGGAUUUAUUGGGUUUAAAGGGAGCGUAGAUGGAUGUUUAAGUCAGUUGUGAAAGUUUGCGGCUCAACCGUAAAAUUGCAGUUGAUACUGGAUAUCUUGAGUGCAGUUGAGGCAGGCGGAAUUCGUGGUGUAGCGGUGAAAUGCUUAGAUAUCACGAAGAACUCCGAUUGCGAAGGCAGCCUGCUAAGCUGCAACUGACAUUGAGGCUCGAAAGUGUGGGUAUCAAACAGGAUUAGAUACCCUGGUAGUCCACACGGUAAACGAUGAAUACUCGCUGU